CCCCUAGAUGUUCUGGGCCGCACGCGCGCUACACUGAACAGUUCAACAAGUCUUAACCUUGGCCGAUAGGUCUGGGUAAUCUUUGAACGCUGUUCGUGAUUGGGAUAGACCUUUGCAAUUAUGGGUCUUCAACGAGGAAUUCCUAGUAAACGCAAGUCAUCAGCUUGCAUUGAUUACGUCCCUGCCCUUUGUACACACCGCCCGUCGCACCUACCGAUUGAAUGGUCCGGUGAAAUCUCGGGACGGCGGCUUGGUCGCUUGCGUCCGACUGCUGAAACUUGAUUAAACAUAUCAUUUAGAGGAAGGUGAAGUCGUAACA
RNAcentral lists this ribosomal RNA (319 nucleotides) under uncultured eukaryote. RNAcentral's name for it is "partial 18S ribosomal RNA". It matches the Rfam family "Eukaryotic small subunit ribosomal RNA", at positions 1470 to 1796 of the family's 1831-position model. The record is from RNAcentral.